Non-coding RNA from Xyrauchen texanus (razorback sucker), 1437 nucleotides. The record is from the annotation of a RefSeq genome assembly. NCBI's taxonomy places the organism in Eukaryota, Metazoa, Chordata, Actinopteri, Cypriniformes, Catostomidae.
CUGACUUUGUCCAGUACACAGCCACGAGUCAAUCAUCAUCAUCGGCUUUGAAAAUUAGUCACAUAACUGUUAGUCAAGACCAAUGGAAACAACGAAAGAAAAUAACGUGUAAUGCGGAGCAUCCAAAGGGUAAAAUGGAUAAAGUAUUUGAAAGUCCAGGGGACCCAAAGGCACCAGAACUGAGUUUGGUUCCAGUAAUAACUAAAAAAAAUUCACUUGUCAUGUGUGUUGUUGAGGACUUCUUCCCCAAAAACCUCGCUGUUGAAUGGAAAGUAAAUGAUAAAACUGAGACAAGUGAGACUUUCCACCAGAAAAUGCCAGACAAGAACAAUGAUGGUCGUUUCACAACAAGGAGUUAUAUUAAGCUCAGAAGUGAUGCAAAUACUCUCUACACCUGUGAGGUCACACACCAGGGUAACAAAGCUCUGGAGAGCAAAACCUUUAAUGCUAACUUCACACUGACUCUGAAGCCACCACUGCAGAAAGAAAUAUUCGUCAACAAUAAAAUUAUAUUGGAGGCAGUUGUUUCUGGAAGUGCAUUCAAAGCCGUAGAGAAUGCUUUGGUGUCAUGCCUAGUGGAUAAUCAACAAAUCAAUGGGAUACCAGGAAAUACACAUUUUUCAAAGGAUACUUCUCAGCAUAUGAAAAUCUACAGUGUCACAGUUGAUCACAAGAAAUGGUUUGAGGGUAAAAAGGUCAUCUGUACCACCCAUGACACAAAUAAAAAAGAAAUCAAGAAGGAGAUCCAAUUUAAUAAAGGAGAUGGAAAUACGCCCAAAGUUAUUAUUUACAGACCUGACAAUGAUACACUUGAUCACGUCUCUCUGGUGUGUGAGGUUUCCAGUGCUCAACUUGGUGAUGUUUAUAUCAUGUGGAAAUUGGGCUCUAAAACAACAUACAUAGAGGCCCCUACCAGUGGUCCAAUCCGUCAAGAGAACUUCACAUCUGUCCUCAGCUUUUUAACAGUGACUCCAGAACAAUACAAAAAUUAUGCGAUCUCCUGUGCAGUCCAACAUGUCAACAUCAGCAAUUUAGGAUCACCAAAAAUAGUAUCAACAAGCAAAAUUGAGCUACAAGAGCCAGAGAUGGGUUUUGCUUUGCUCUGCAAUACAAAUGUUUUGGAGGAGGAUGAGUUCAGAAGUCUCUGGUACACUGCCUCAUCAUUCAUCUUUCUGUUCCUCUUUACUCUGACCUACAGCGCUCUGCUAAGCUUAUUAAAGAUAAAGCAGUGAAGACUCAUUGGUUAUUCAUUCAUCUUGUGACUAUCAUUGUAUUUUCUUUUGAUUUAUCUAUUUUGAAAAAAAAAAAAUGAAAAAAAAGAAGCAAUUCUUUCUUGCUUUCUCCAUGAUUCUUUUUUAUGUAGGCUAAUUGAUAUUGUUAAUACUAUAUUAUUUGCCUCUGUGCAUACAUUUAAAAAUAUUGAUAAAGAUGUGUUCA